CUUCAAGUCUGCCUCGGUGGUUUCUAAUUCUGGAGACGUGCACAGUAGAAUGGUCUCCCACAAUCCUUUCAGAAAGAACAGGAAAGCCCUUCUGUAUUCUUCUUCUGUAAAGAAGACACCAGCCUAUCUCCUCAUAAUUCUGAGGUAAAAUGGUCAUCUAUAAUUCACUCAUUAUUCCACUAAGUAUUUGCUCAGUGCAUACCAUAUGCCAGAUAUUUAUUGCUACAUAUUCCAUGCUGAGCCAAUGUCAAGGACCUACUGUCUAGGAGGAAGAAUGACAACAAUCAAAUCUUCACACAAAUAAAUAUAGCCUUACAAACACUGACGAGUGCUUAGAUGAAAAAGUACUGUGCACCAUGCUUGUGGGAACACAUUAGAGCCUAACUGGGUUUGGGAGGAUGGGAGUUGUCAAGAAAGGUUUCCUAUGGGCUUUGCAGUUAGGACCUGACAUGAGACACACAAGUAGGAAUGGGAGGGAGAGUUCUUCUCUUGACCAGGAGGAUGCACUCGUGAAUGUUUGAGGCUGCAAAAAGCUGACUCAGUGGGAACUGGAGGGGCAGGAGCGGAAGAGAGGUAGGAAAAGUAGAUAGGGCUUGCAGGCCAUGUCAAGGGCUUUGGACUUUAUUCAGAGGGAAGUAGGCCACCAUUUUUGUGAGCAGGGGAGUUACAGGGCUCUGUUUGCAUAUUAAUAAAAGUAAUCUGAUUUCUGUUGGAGAAUGGAUUGGAAAGUGCCAUGGAUGGACGUAGGGAAACUGGUUAGGAAACUAUUCCAGUAGUGUAGACAAGAGACAGUGGCAGUAUAGUAUAUAGGAGUGGAUGUUAGGCAUACUUGAGGUUGACACUUUUUUCUUGCAGUACUUUAGAGAUGUUCCAUUGUCGGUACUGUAAUAGCAUUGUAUGGGGACCAUUGGUAGCCAUGCUUGUGGGGAGCACAGCAUAACAAAUACACUAGUCAACUCACUAUGUUGUAUACCUGAAGCUAAUGUAACAUUGCGUGUCAACUUCAUUAAAAAAAAAAAAAAUGAAAAACAAAAUGAAUGGGGCACCUGGGUGGGUGACUCAGUCGGUUGAGCCUCAGACUCUUUCUUGAUUUCGGCUCAGGUCAUGAUCUCACAGUCGUGAGAUCAAGCCUCACAUUGGGCUCUGUGCUGAGCGUGGAGCCUGCUGAAAUUCUCUCUCACCCUCUCCCUUUGCCCGGUCCUGCUUGCACACACGUGCACUCACUCAAAAAAAAAAAAAAAAAAAAAAAAAAAAAAAAAAAAAAAAAAAAGAUGUUCCAUUGCCUUCUGGCUUGCUUAAUUUUGGAAACAAAGUCUUUACCUGUAUAUAAUGAGUCUUUUUUCCCCUCUGGCUGAUUUUAAGACUAUCAAGAAGUUUUAGCAAUUCAGUUAUGAUGUAUUUUGUAUAGUUUUAAAAAGUUUAUUCUGUUUGGAAUGUGUUGAGUCUCUUGAAUCUGUGGGAUUAAUAGUUUUCACCAAAUUUAGAAAAUUUUUGGCCAUUUUUUCUUCAAAUAGUCUUAUGCCUCCUUUUUUUCUUGGGACACGCAGAGUUCAGGGAUUGGUGGAUUUUCAAGAGCAGUAAUGUUUAAGGAUUUUUUUUUUAACUUUUAACUGUGCAAGCAAGUGAUUCAUUGAUGACUGGCUAACUUGCAGAUGUUUUUCCAUUGAAAGGAGGCUCUUGCCAAUUGGCUGUUUUUUCAGAAGUGUAACUGCUGGGAUGAAGUUGUUAUGGGUUGAUCAGGAUGAAUUUAAAGCCGGUUAUAGUAGUUAUUCAUUGUUGUGGUCAGAUAAUUUUUUUGUAGGAGGAUAGCAAUUUUUUCCCCUCAGUCUCUCUUUUUAAUCUUCCAUCCGGUAGAAUCGCAGGAAAUACCCUAGGAAUUAGGCAGAGUUCUACCAGUGUUAUUGAUUCUUCUUGAAGAUGAGGUUUCAUUUCCAGAAGUCUGAUGAUCAGUUGAGUAUCAAUCAACAUGUUUUCGUCUCGUUUUGUCUUUGAUUGAUGUGCAUUUGCGAUUCUGGACAACAGACAUUGAACAACUAUGAGACAAACAAGAAUAAUUAAGAAUAUUAUGAGAUGGGACUGGAAAGCACAUAGAAACCAUGACCCAGUAUUUCUCAGGCCUAAAGACAAAUCCAACAACUUCCUGAGUCUACCUUGAGUAGCCAGGUUGCCUUUUUCCUUAAGUUAGGUGAUGGAUUGUUCCAUCCCACCUCUGGAACAAAAUCUAGGUAAAGAUGGAGUAUUAGUAAUAGUGCGAACUCCAAGGUUAUUCUAUUAUCCAUAACUAACUACUUGAGCUCUAAGGGCUGGACUCAUUAAUUGUAUCAGCCAAAGUGAGGUUCUAAUUGUUGAUGGUCACCUCAAGUUGGCCAAAUUUAAAAUUUUUUUUUUGUUUUUUCAACGUUUAUUUAUUUUUGGGACAGAGAGAGACAGAGCAUGAACGGGGGAGGGGCAGAGAGAGAAGGAGACACAGAAUCGGAAACAGGCUCCAGGCUCCGAGCCACCAGCCCAGAGCCCGACGCGGGGCUCGAACUCACAGACCGCGAGAUCGUGACCUGGCUGAAGUCGGACGCUUAACCGACUGCGCCACCCAGGCGCCCCAAGUUGGCCAAAUUUUAUAGGCAGGAUCACAAUCCCUAGGAGGCUAUUUACAAAAUACUAUUUAUACCUCCAGGAAAAAUAAUAAAUUGCUACUUUAAAUUUUUUUUUUUUUUCAACGUUUUUUUUUUUAUUUAUUUUUGGGACAGAGAGAGACAGAGCAUGAACGGGGGAGGGGCAGAGAGAGAAGGAGACACAGAAUCGGAAACAGGCUCCAGGCUCCGAGCCACCAGCCCAGAGCCCGACGCGGGGCUCGAACUCACAGACCGCGAGAUCGUGACCUGGCUGAAGUCGGACGCUUAACCGACUGCGCCACCCAGGCGCCCCAAGUUGGCCAAAUUUUAUAGGCAGGAUCACAAUCCCUAGGAGGCUAUUUACAAAAUACUAUUUAUACCUCCAGGAAAAAUAAUAAAUUGCUACUUUAGAGUGUUACAACAAAGAAUAGCAUUUGAGGAGGAAAAGGUAACGGUAUUUCAUAAUUAGUUAAUUAAAUAGCAGAAAAAUAAUAGAUGAUCUCAGUUAGAAGUAAGCACUGCCCUGCACGUGGUACCAUCAGAUUUUAUAGUUCCAGUAUAAGAUCUGGAGAUGUGUCUGUUGGGUUAGCUAAGGCUGAAUUUGCUCUGAGACAAACAGGAUAUGCCUUAACUACUGGGUCAAAAGACAGGUUAAUAAUAGGCCAUGGAUCUUUGAUAUGCUCUGUGUGUUAACAGCUUUAGAUGUCAGCUCACCUUUCCUUUCAUGUAUAUAUGAAAAGAAAGCUUUAUGGUAAUCUGGGAGAUGCAGUUCAGGUGAUUGUAGAUGCAAGUUGUGAGACCAUAGCAAGUCUUUUCCAUCUCUGCUUUUUCCAUUCCAUGAAGGAGAUUCCAAAGGGUUUGAUUUAGGCAAAUGGUAUCAAGUCCUUGCUAUUUCAGAAAAGUUUGGUACGCAUUGCACACGAUACCCAGUUAGUCUCAGAAAUCCUUACUGUCUUCUGGUGGUUGGUUGUGGGUAAUUUUGAUGAAUUUGCAAUCUUUUCUUAGAUACUGUCCUUCCGUCAGCUGCUAUGUCUUGGCACGUCAGUGGACAGAUACUUAAAGUGAGUCUUAGAGUCAUCACAUCAGGGGAUCUCAAAAGAGCUCAUUUACAUAUAGGGUCAGAGCGAUCACCUAGGGAAUAGCAUCUCCUUUGAGUCUUGGUUUAACUGUGAUGAGGCAUCAGUGAAUUCCUGGGUCCAAGUGAAUUAUUAAUUUUGCUGGGUGACAGCAAAUAAUGUUGACUAUUUUACUCCCUUGAGACACUGAACAAAGACAAGUACAAAUCUAUUACAGUGAGGAGAGGAUGGUGUUUAGGUUAGGCAUUAUUAGGAAGUAAGGUAUAACUAUUUUUCUAAUUGCACGCAGAUCUCAAACAAAUCUAUAUUCUCGACCACUAGGUAUUUUAACAGUGAAGUAGAUGUAUUACAUGAACUGGUACAAGGCAGAAUUAGUUGGUUACUGUAAUGCCCACCAGCGGCUGGUCUUAGGUUUCACGAGGCAAUCCUAUUCAGUACCUGGAAUAGCCCACGCGUGGCGCUGGGUUCACUGAGAAGGAUAGAGGUCCGGACCUGGCAGUCAGGUGUGUUUCUUCAGCAGUAGUCUCGCAGCUGUGCACAGAGCAGUCCUAGUGGAAGAUUAAAUGUGAGAGAAUGAGAUCACAAAGGUGGGUGUCAGAGCCAAGCUCACAUCCCAACUAGGAGCAAGUAUCCUGCACGUCGUUCUGCAGGCGGAACCUCCAGGGCCACAAGUCCCGGUCACAUGUCACGACACUCAGGGAAGCCCAGAACCACCGCCCCCUGCCAGGCACUUGCACACCAUUCAUGGUCCUUGUAAUCCAGAGGCACUUUACCAAUCUGGGCUCAUUUUUACCUCAAAGAGUGUAGACGCUCCAGCUCUGUGAGGUUUCUAGAAAGUUAACCCAAGGUCAGUUUUGACUGUACAGAGGAUUUUUGUUAACCUUUUGCUCACAGGUACAGUUGGCAUAAGAUCUUUCUCUGCUUCAACUUUUAGAAGAUGCCAACAUAGAACAGAAUAAAUUCCAGAAAUAAACCCACAUAAAUACGGUGAAUUGAUUUUUGACCAGGAUUGGAGGGCAGUUCAAUAGGUAUAGGAUAGUCUUCAACAAAUGGUGCUGGAUAACUGGACAUCCAUAAGUAGAAUAAGAACCUUGAACCUCAACUCACACUGUAUAUAAAAUUAAUUCAAGGUGUAUCAUAGGUCUAAAUAUAAACCAUAAGACUAUCAACUUUUGGAAGAAAACAUAACAGAAUCUUUAUGAACUUGGGUUAGGCCAAGAAUUCUUAUUAUGAUACCAAAAGCACAAUUAUUAAUGGAACUUGAUCAAAAUUACACAACUCUGCUCUGCCAAAGAUACUGUUAAGACAAUGAAAACACAAGCCAAAGACUGGGGAAAAUAUUUAAAAAUCACAUAUCCAAUGAAAACGAUAUGCAGAAUACAUAAAGAACUCUCAAAACUCAACACUAGAAAACCAACAGACAUAAAAGAUUGGGAAGGAUUUUAACAGGCACUUUACCAGAGAGGAUGUACAGGAGACAGGUGCAUGAAAUAAUGUGCAAUGUCAUUAGGGACAUGCAAAGUAAAACCACGAUAACACUGCACACCUGUUAGAACAGCUAAGGCAUUUUUCAAAUGACAACACCAAGCAUGUUGGCGGGGACUCUGAGAAUGGGAAACUUAUACAUCAUUGCCAGUGGGAAUGUAAAAUGGUACAGUGACUCUGAGAACAGUUUAUCAAUCUUUUGUGAAGUCACUGACCAGGUGACCAGCAAUUCCAUUCCUAGAUAUUUGCCCUAGAGAAAUGAAAAUUUGUAUUUACCCCAAAUCUGUGCAUUAAUGUUUUUAGCACCUUUAUUCAUAGUAGUCCAAAAUUGGAAAAGACCCACAUGUCCUCUCAUGGGUGAAUGGAUGAAUAAACUAUGGGGCAUCCGUACGAUCCAACAACACCCAACAGUAAAAAGGAAUUACUCUUGAUGCACGCAGCAACAGGGAUGCAUCUCUAAAGCAUUGGGCUAUGUGAAAGAAACCAGACUCAAAGCUAUAUGAUUUUAUGUAUAUGACAGUCUGGAAAAGGCAAAACUAUAGGAGAACAUAUCAGUGGUUGCUGAGGGUUCAGGAAGGAGAAGGGCUUGACCUUUACACAAAGAGGUAGCACAAGGGAGUUUUUUAGGGUCAUGGAACUUUCUGUAUCCCAGUGGUAGUGGUGGUUACUCAAAUCUGUAUGUGUGUUAAAACUUAUAAAAUUACAGACUUUUUAAAGUUAAUUUUAUAUGUUAACUUAAGAGUAAAAAAAUGAAAGAGAAACCCAACUGAUUUGAAACUAUGUCCACGUGAAACUGCCCAUGAAUGUUUACAGCAGCCUCAUUCAUUACUGCCAAAACUUGGAAGCAACUGACAUGUUAUUUAAUAAGUGAAAGGAUAUGCAAGCUGUGCUCCACCCAUACAAUGGAAUAUCAUUUAACAAUAAAAAGAAAUGAGCUGUCAAGCCAUGAAAAGACAUGGAUUGACCUUAAAUGCGUAUUGCUAAGUGCAAGACGCUGCUCUGAAAGGCCACAUGCUGCAUGAUUCUAGCUACAUAGCAUUCUGGGAAAGGGAAAACUAUAGAGACGGUAAGAGAUCAGUGGUUACCAUAAGUUUGGGGGUGGGAGAAGUGUUGAGUAGGUGAAGCACAGUGGAUUCUGGGGGGUGAUAAAGUACAGUGGAUUUUUUAGGGUGAUGGAGUUGUUCCAUAUGAUACGGUAAUAAUGGAUACAAGAAAUUUAAGUAUUUGUCAAGGCGCAUAGAAUUUUACAGCACAAAGACUGAACUGUAGUGUAGGUAAUAUUCUUGAAAUUUUUUAUUGUGGCAAAAUGUACAUAACAUUCACUUUACCAUUUUGACCAUUUUUAAGUGGCAGUGAGUACAUUCGCAAUGUUGUGUAGCCAUUCUAUCCAUUUCCAGAUCUUUUUCAUCAUCCCAAAUAGAAACUCUGUCCCCGUUGAAUCACUCUCCCUUCUCCCUUACUCCAACAACUAGUAGCGCCUAUUACACUUUCUAUCUCUAUGAAUGUACCUAUUCUAGGUACCUCAUAUAAGUGGAAUCAUACAGUGUUUAUCCUUUUGUCUCUGGCUUAUUUCAUUUAACAUGACAUUUUUACAGUUUAUCCACAUUGUGGCGUGUUUCAGAAUUUAAUUCCUUUUUACAACUAAAUAAUAUUCUAUAGUAUAUGUAAAUACCACAUUUGGUUUGUUCAUUCUACCUUUUGGCUGUUAUGAAUACUACUGUUGUGAACAUUGGUAUCCAGGUAUAUGUUAAGAGUCCUGCUUUCAGAUCUUUUGGACAUAUACCUAGAAGUGGAAUUGCUGGAUCAUAUGGUCAUUCUAUGUUUAGCUUUUUGAGGAAACCCCCACCAUGUUUUCCACAGAGGUUGCCCAUUUUACAUUCCCACUAGCAAUACACCAUUAUUCUAAUUUCUCCACAUCCUUCCCAAGACUUGUUAUUUUCUUCCUCUCUACCUUUCUUUCUUUCUUUCUUUCUUUCUUUCUUUCUUUCUUUCUUUCUUUCUUUCUCUUUCUUUCUUUUCUUUUCUUUCUUUCUUUUCUUUCUCUUUCUUUCUUUCUUUCCCUCCUUCCUUCCUUCUUUCCUUUCUUUCUCUUCCUUCCUUCCUUCCUUCCUUCCUUCCUUCCUUCCUUUUCUGUUUCUUUCUUUCUUUCUUUCUUUCUUUCUUUCUUUCUUUCUUUCUUUCUUUCCUUCCUUCCUUCCUUCCUUCCUUCCUUCCUUCCUUCCUUCUUUUUCUCUUUUUCUUUUUUAUAAUAGCCAUCCUCAUGGGUAUGAGGUAGUAUCUCAUUGUGGUUUUAAUUUGCAUUUCCCUAUUAAUGAUGUUGAACAUACUUGCAUGUGCUUAUUGGCCAUUUGUAUAUCUUCUUUGAAGAGAAGUCUAUUCAAGGUUUUUUUUUGCCCAUUUUGUAUUGGGUUGUUUUUUUGUUGUUUUUGUUGUUGAAUUUAAUAGCUCUUUAUAUAUUUUGGAUAUUAAUCCCUUAUCAGAUAUACACUUUGCAUAUAUCUUCUCCUAUCCUGGGGGUUGUCUUUUUACAAUCUUAAUAAUAUCCUUUGAGGCACAAAAGUUUUACAUUUUGUCCAAUUUACCUAUUUUUGUUGUUGCCUGAGCUUUUGGUGUCCUAUCCACGAAAUCAUUGCAAAUCCAAUGUCAUAAAGAUGUUCCCUAUGUUCUUCUCUAAAAAUUUUAUAGUUUUAUCUCCUACAUUUAGGUUUUUGAUCCAUUUUGUGCUAAUUUUUAUUUAUUUAUUUUUAAAAUUUUUUGUAAUGUUUAUUUUUGAGAGAAAGAGAGACAGAAUGUGAGUGGGGGAGGAGCAGAGAGAGAGGGAGACACAGAGCUGUCAGCACAGAGCCUGACACGGGGCUUGAACCCACAACCCUUGAGGUCAUGACGUGAGCCAAAGUCAGAUGUUUAACCGACUGAGCUACCCAGGCGCCACAUUAAUUUUUAUAUAUGGUAUGAGGUAAGGAUCCAACUUCAUUCUUUUGCAUGUGGAUAUCCAUUUGUUGAGAAGACUGUCAUCUCUCGUUGAAUGGUCUUGACCCUUGUUGAAAAUCAAUUGAUCAUAUAUGCAAGACUCUGUUUUCAGACUUUGUAUUCUAUUCCUUUGAUCUAUCUGUCUGUCCUUAUGCCAGUACCACGCUGAUUAAUGUAGCUUUGUAGUAAGUUUAAAAAUCAGGAAAUGUGAGUCCUCCAACUUUGUUCUACUUUUUUGUUUUGUUAUGGAUAUCCUCCUGAAUGUGAAGUGGUAUAUCAUAGUGAUUUUGAUUUGCAUUUUCCUAGUGAUGAAUAAUGUUGAAUAUUUUCAAGUGUUGUGUCCAUUUCUUUACCUUCUUUGGAAAAAAAGUCCUUUCUCAAAGCAUUUGAAAAAAUGGGGUUCCUGUUUGUUUGUUUUUUUUAUUGAUGAGUUGUAAGAGUUCUCUGUAUGUUUUGAAUACUAGACCCUUAUCAGAUACAGAUUUUCCCCACUACCCCAAACCAGAAUAUUCCUAUGAAAUCUGAAAUGGCGUAAAGUGAAGAAGCGGUUACUAUUAAUUUAUAGUUGACCCUUGAGCAACAUGGGAGUGAGGAGCGUCAACCCCCCAUGUAGUCAAAAAUCCACGUGUAACUUUUGACUCCCUGAAAACAUAAGUACUAAGAGCCUAUUGUUGACUGGAAGUCUUAGCGAUAACAUAAACAGUUGAUUAACACAUAUUUUGCAUGUUAAAUGUAUUAUAUGCUAUAUUCUUAUAAUAAAGUGAGCUAGAAACAAAUAUUAUUAUGAAAAGUCAUAAGAGAAAAUACAUUUACAGUACCAUGCUGUAUUUAUCCCCCCAAAAUCUGUGUAUAAGUGGGCCCACACAGUUCAUACCCAUGUUGUUUAAAAGUCAACUUAUAUGGAAAAAGUUUUGAGUGUUCUUGGGCCCAAAAAUAAUCUCUCAGGCUUUUCAGAUACUUUAGGACACAUCUUGCUAAUGGAUGUACAAAGUAAGUUGGGAUAAAGCACUUAUGUUCAAAGAAAGAGUUCAUAACUAUGGUGGCCGGACGCUGAGACGCUGAGUGCAGUUCCUAGGGAAGGAGUUUGGGAGGGACACCCUCGCUGCUUGGGCUACGUACUGCCUCUACAACAGCUCAUUGCAAAACCAAUGCUGAAUGCUAAUUUUGCUUUUCAUCUUUUUCAUAAAAAUGAAAAUCCUCUUUGGUUAGUGAAAACAGGUACUAAUGUAGGUCUUUCAAAAAGCCUAACUGGCCUGGGGGGGCCUGGAUGGCUCAGAUGGUUAAGCCGCUGAUUUCAGCUCAGGUGGUGAUCUCACAGUUUGUGGGUUCGAGCCCCGUGUCGGGCUCUGUGCUGACAGCUCAGAGCUCAGAGCCUGCUUCAAAUUCUGUGUCUCCGUCUCCCUCCCCCUCUGUGUCUCCCCAUCUCACACUCUGUCAAAAAAUGAAUAAAUGUUAAAAAAAAAAAAAGCUAAGUGGCCUGAUAACAUUCAAAAAGCAGAGGAUUCCUGUAUGUGAUUUCAGAUACAGUAUUUGCUUCCAUUCUAUGGGUUGCCUUUUCACUCAGUGAAUAAUGCUCUUUCAUGCACAAAAGUUUUGCAUUUUGAUGAAGUCUUACUUAUCUAUUUUUUAUUUAUCUAUUUUUUCUUUGGUUGUUUGUGCUUUUGGUGCCAUAUUAAAGGACCCAUUGCCAAAUCCAAGGUCAUAAAGAUUUGCCCCUGUGUCUUUCUUCUAAAAAUUUUAUAGUUUUAGCUUUUUAAUGUAAGUCUUGGAUUCAUUUUGAGUUAAUAUUUAUAUGUGGAGUGAGUUAAGUGUCCACUUUCAUUAUUUUAUUUUAUUUUUUAUUUUGUUUUAUUUAUUUUAGAGAGAGAGAGAGAGAGAGAGAGAGAGAGAGGGAGAACCAGCACAUAUGCAAGCAGGGGAGAAGGGCAGAGGGAGAGACAGAGAACCUCAAGCAGGCUCUACACUCAGCAUGGAGCCCAACACGGGGCUCAAUCCCACGACCCUGGGAUGAUGACCUGAGCUGAAAUCAAGAGUGAGAUGCUUAACCGACUGAGCCAGCCAGGCCCACUUUCAUUCUUUUACAUGCAGAUAUUCACUUGUUCCAGCACCAUUUGUUAAAGUGAGCGGUCUUUCCCCCACCUACUGGUCUUGAUACCCUUAUUGAAAAUCAAUCCUCUUUGAUUUUUUUCAGUACAGUUUUAUUGCUUUCUGUUGCUUGCAUGUAUUUGUUAGAUGCGUUUUAUUUUAAAAUUUUCAAUAUGGAAAAUUUCAAGUAUAUACAGAAACAGGUAGGUGUACUCAUCACUCAUCCUCAACAACUCAUGGCCAAUCCUGUUACAUCUUGUUCUUACACGAUGCCCCACCUCCAUAUUAUCUUUGUAGGUCAAAUUUAGUGAAGCAUACUUGACACACAGUAAAAUUUACCCUUUUUAUAAUUCAACAAGAUGUGACCGAUGUAUGAGCCAGCACAAUCAAGAUAUAAAAUAUUUCCAACACCCCGAAAGUUUAUGAUCCCUUUGCAGCGAAAUCCCUUCCUUCCAGUGUUCCUGGGAAACACUGAUUAGAUUUCUGUCCCUAUAGGUUUUUUCUCUUCUAGUACUGGGCCUCCAUUUAUAAACUUUUCGAUUUUUAACAAACCAGCAUUUUAGGCUGCAGACUUUAUUUUUGGAAUCUCUCAUGGUUCCAAGGAUACAUAGCUAGGUUAGACUGGAGCUCUGGCAACGGCCCUUCUGUGUGAGGGAGAAUAAACCAGUGAUCAUCUCCCCAUCAGGGCACAGGCAAAAUACAAAAUGGGGCUCUGGGCUUCCUAAAGGAGGGGAGGAGGGAGCCUUGAGAAAAUAGUGUCCUUUUGGAACCUGAGGCACAGAACAGCCUCAUACACCCUCUUUUCUGUGGUUAAUUGCAAGGGAUUGAUUGAAACCAUUUCUCACCACUUCUAAAAAUUCUCACUCAACUAAUACCUAUUGAAAACCUUCUAUUUUCUAGACACUGUUGCAGCAGCUUGGGAAAUAUUUGUGGACAAAAUAAAGAUUUCCACCCUUAUGGAGAUUAAAUUCUAUCAAGCAUAAACAGACACUAAAUAAGAAACAUAAGAGAUUAAAAAUAAUAUGGCAUGGCAGAGGUGAUAAGGGCAAUGCAGGAAAGUAAAAGAUCAGGAAAGGAGGGCAGCAGGAGGGCAGGAGUGGAUUGAAGAAUUAAGUAAGAUGGUCAGGGCCCAUUUCCCUGAGAAAGUGGGAUCUGAACAAACACUAGAAGGGAUGGAUGGGGAGUUGGGCAGGUGGGUGCUGGGGAGUGAAUAACCCAGGUUCAGGGAGUGGUUUGGAGCUAAGCCCUUGUGGAAUGUUUGAGAAUCAGAAAGGAGGGCAAUGGGGCUGGGACAGAGGGAAUGAGAGGAAGGAGAAAGAGAGGGGUCAAAGACAGUGUGGGCCUUGCAGGCGCACUGGCACGUGAAUGAGUUGAGAAGAUUCACCCUCUACUGUCAACUAUGACCCUUAUAUCCUGAUCACUGCACUGCAGUGUUUAAAGCAUUGUGCCAAAUCUCAUGGGAUUCUAGGAGAUAACUGGCAAACAGAAUUAGGCAGAUCCUUUGGUUAAAUAUGGACUUACUUUACUUUCUCAAUGGAAACUACCUAAUAGCUACUCCUAUACAGAGCAGAGUGGUAAUUCUGAGCCUCUGGGCCAGUAGUUCUGGGUCUGUGACCCCAGUGCCACCACUUUGAAGCUGUGUGGUCUGGGGCACAUUGAUUCUCCUCUCUGAGCCUGUUUCCUUGGCUCUAAAGUGGGGAUGGUAAUCAGUGCCUGUUAUUGGCUUAAUUGUGCACCCUCCCAACCAGAUUCAUAUGUCAAAGUCAAGACUGCUGUCCUUGUACGAAGUAGAAAUUUGGAUGCUGACAUGCACAGAGGAAACAUUGUGAGGACACAGGCAGAAGACGGCCAUCUACAAGCCAAAGAGAGAGACCUCAGAUGAAACCCACCCUCCAACACCUUGAUCUUGGACUUCUAGACGCCAGAACUAUGAGAAAGCAAAUUUCUGUUGUUUAAGCCCCCUGGUCCGUGGUAUUUUGUUAUGACAGCCCCAGGAAAGGUUUACAGUACCCUUAAAAGACUGUUACGGGGUGCGCUUUUAGGGAACUGGUGUCUAAAGGCUGUGCUUUCUAAAUCUGAUUCAUUCUUACCCCGCAGGGGUGCAUUCUCUCCACCAGGAGAGAUGCUGCCAGGAACAGGC
RNAcentral lists this long non-coding RNA (12365 nucleotides) under Lynx pardinus (Iberian lynx). The record is from RNAcentral. Lineage: Eukaryota; Metazoa; Chordata; Mammalia; Carnivora; Felidae.